UCCACGUGGACCGUACGAAAAAUAGCGUCCCCGAUAUACUGCGCAUGCUCGCUCCAAUUAUGCUACCGCUCAUCUGCUAGCUCCUCGAUGAGUUUACGUACGUACGAACGAUGCAUUACAAAAACCGCUGACUGUGGUAUCUGAAGAAGUGAUAAAAAAGUGGUAUACUUCAAGACUGAAGAGAGAGGUCAACUGGCAAAUGGGGCGAACGAAUUCUCAGAAGGAGAUAGGGCCAACGUGUGGUCAACAAGGUACACCGAAUCAAGGGUCAGCUAAACGUCCAUUCAGUUGUGUUGUGGCUGAUGCCGACGAAGUUUCCAGCGUGAAAAGACAGCUCCUGCAGAUGCCUCCUGUAAAAUCUCCGAACGGCGAUGGAUGCGAGCCCGUGGAUGCGGUGGCGGGGACUGCCUCCGCCGAGGCCGCCGCGGGGAUAGCUCCCAAGAAGUUUCGGUUUACUGACAUUGUGGAGAAGAAAUUGAAGGAUGGAAAGUGGACUGAGGCAGAAAUAGAAUGGUUUAUCUCGGAAAUCGUGAAAAAAGACGGAAAAGUGGAAGAGUCGCAAGUCGGGGCUCUCUUGAUGCUAACGUUCAUCAAGGGGUUGGAUGCGGAGGAGACCGGUAUCCUCACCCGGGCGAUGAUGUUGAGCGGGGAUACCCUGAGUUGGCCCAAGGAAUGGGAGGGGAGACUGGUAGACAAGCACUCCACCGGUGGAGUAGGGGAUAAAGUCAGCCUCAUUCUGGCUCCUGCUCUGGCCGCCUGUGGAAUGAAGGUGCCAAUGAUCUCAGGGCGUGGCCUGGGCCAUACCGGGGGUACCUUAGACAAGCUGGAGUCCAUUCCUGGCUACACGGUCCUCCUUCCCUCGGAUAGGAUGCAAAAGAUCAUGGAGGAUGUCGGUUGCUGUAUCUGCGGCCAGACGGCCAAUCUCGUUCCCGCAGACAAGAUUCUGUAUGCCAUCCGAGAUGUCACUGGCACUGUGCCAAGUUUACCUCUUGUCACAGCUUCUAUCAUAUCGAAGAAGGCUGCGGAGAGAGUGAAUGCGCUGGUCCUAGACGUCAAAGUGGGCAACUCUGCGUUCUACUCACAAGACGAAAUGCUAGGAAGACAAAUGGCGACAUCCUUGGUUCGGGCAAGCAGUAUGCUUGGUACUAAGGCUACAGCCCUCAUGACGAGAAUGGACAACCCUAUUGGACGCUGUGUAGGAAACACCCUUGAAGUUGCCGAGUCCAUUCAAUGUCUUCGUGGAAAGGGUCCAAAGGAUCUUCGUACACUUGUGGAGGAACUCGGUGGGUGUCUAAUAGACUCCCUUCAAGGAACCACCAACGGCAAACAACAGAUAGCAAACACCCUGGAUAAUGGAAGAGCUUUGGCCAAGUUCAGGGAUAUGAUCGUAGCGCAGGGGGCGGAUGAACACCUGGCGGACCGGCUCUGUGGACUCCCCAUGGAUGAUAUUGAUGAGGUCUGGCAAGUUCUGAAAAAGGCAGAAAACGAGACCCAACUCCUGGCCGAGAGAACAGGUUAUAUUUCAAGCAUGAAUUCUCUGGAGGUUGCUAAAGUGUGUUUGGUUCUGGGAGCUGGAAGGGCCGUCGCUACGGCAGAUGUCGACCACUCCGUCGGGGUCAAACUACUGGCACAUGUGGGCUCGCAUGUCAAGAAAGGAGAACCUUGGGUCACAGUCUACCACCAGUCUAAUGACUUCAAUGAUGGACUAGCCGACCGACUGCAAGCGACAUUAGAGUACUCAGACUCGCCCGUCUCAGUCCCAGACAUUGUAAUUGGUGUGGUGAAGCCAUCUUGAGUUACUAAAAGCUCUCUUCAAUGAUUUGUACCUCUAACUUUAAAAUGAUUCUCAGAACAAAACUACAUAGUAAUAGCUGGAUUUAUAUAGCUCAGCACUUCUUGCCUGAGGGUACAAAGUGCUGAUAUAAUAUUACCCCGGCUUUAUAGCCGUGGAAAGUGUGUACAGGGUCAUUCUCAAGAAAAUGUGACGAAUCAUGAAAAUUACAUCCCGAUCAGACCAUCUUUUGACCUAUAGCCCUCUAUCUUGCAAGAAUGAACAUGGGUAAAAUAAUGUUGCAAACCAGGUGGGUGUUUCAUAAAGCUGUUUGUAAGAUACGAAUGACUAUGCACGACUUUUGAUCCUGUCUUGUGCUGUGUGAUAUAUCCAGGGCUGUGUAGCUGACUUACCACCUAAGAACAUGUUCCAGUUGUUCAUAAAGUUGUGCGUAACUUUACGAACAGCGUUAUGAAACGCCCACCCGAAUCCAUUUUCAGUGACCUGCAACUCCCACAACUUGAGUGUUGUGGCCCAGUGGUUUAGUCUCUGGACUUUGAAACAGAGGGUCAUAGGUUCAAGGUGCAGCCAUGUCAUAGAUUCCUUCAGCAAAUAAUUCACCCACAUUGUGCUGCACUCGACACAAGUUAGGUGAAUGGGUACCUGACAGGGAUUUAUAACUUGAAAUGCGUUUUAGCUGGUAAAAAGAAUAAGACUGCCAAACUAAAGCUGGAGUAAUAACAACCAAAUCCUUUGGAAGCGCUUAGAGAAGUUAUGAUCACAAUGUGAUAUACCUGCAUUACAUGUAACUGUUCAUUAUGAGUAUUAAUCAGCCAAGAGAUGGUUUGGAAAAUGACUUUUGUGAUAUUUUUCUUAAGAAUGACCCUUCACGCGUGCCAACAUAGGGAUUUCUUGUCCAAAAAAGGCCCAUGGAGGGGAGACGUACACGUACAUCCCUGAAUAUGGCUUAUUUUUCAAAUGAUUUUGUGAAUGCAGAAGAGAAAGCUUAUUUUUCUAUAGUUACAGAAUGCAUUCAUUUAUUUUUUUGAAAGGGUUUGUUUCCUGUGUUAAAAUCGAUGGCAGAAUUGACCUAACACAAGUUUUCACAUGAUACCCAGAGACUUAUGUGGCAAAAACUUGUAUGCAACAAGCUCAGUUUGUCUACAGAUAGGAACACAUCAUUGAUUGAUUAAUUUUCUAUCAAAA
RNAcentral lists this unclassified non-coding RNA (2977 nucleotides) under Lytechinus variegatus (green sea urchin). RNAcentral describes it as "thymidine phosphorylase-like, transcript variant X1". Lineage: Eukaryota; Metazoa; Echinodermata; Echinoidea; Temnopleuroida; Toxopneustidae. The record is from RNAcentral.